RNAcentral lists this long non-coding RNA (2353 nucleotides) under Amphimedon queenslandica. RNAcentral's name for it is "uncharacterized LOC109584501, transcript variant X1". Lineage: Eukaryota; Metazoa; Porifera; Demospongiae; Haplosclerida; Niphatidae. The record is from RNAcentral.
AGGAUAUAUUCUAUACUUAACUAUAAGAUCAAAUCACACAAGACCUGCCAUUGCACAUUUUAUCAUUGGUAGUGAGUAAAUUUGACUAAAAGAGAAGUCUGUUCUAGCUAUUAGAUUGUCCUUUACUACUUGCAAGAAACUGUAGCUAAAUUUUAUGCAGGUACUGUCAAAUGUAUAAUAUUCAGUCAUUGAAUUAUAAAUAUUUGCACAUAAUUAUGUUGAAAAUACUUUAAAAUUCAAAUUAUCCACCAGAACUAGAUUAAUGAUAUAUGUAUUCAUUGGGAUACCAUAAAAAGCAAAAUAAUUUCUUGGCUGCCAUCUUGGGCUAAAAUCUGCCUUAUGUGCUUUUCCACGUUAGUUAGAGGCUUCUAGUUUUUGCAGUGGUACAGAAAUGGAGAUUAAGGUUGGAAUCUUUUCUCUCUGGAUCCAUCUCCGUUGUUCUGCUGAAAAAAAAGUUAAAUAUGACCUCUUCCCCAUUGAAUACUGUACAAAGUGCAUGUAUAUAUACCUCCAUCAUGGCAGCCAAAAUAAUUUUUUGAUUUACAGUAUAAAGUGAUUAUCAUUAACAAGUCAAUGAAUAUCAUGUAUCUCAUUCACAAGGAUUUGCCAAUGGUAGACAAGAACAGUGUAAUAAUGGUGUAAUAAAAUUGACUUUUGUAUGUACAUGUAUAUGUACUUUAUUUGUUGUAUUUCUUUUUCAUAGAGUAACUGUAUGGACUCCAUUACAUGGAGCAGCUUCCAAUGAUAAGAUUGAUGCUAUCUAGUGGUUAUUGGAGAAUGGUGCUCAUAUUGAGUCUAGAGAUGAUCUACUACAGUUCACAAGAUGAUAUGCCACUUGACUAAUGAAUAUAGUGUGCUGAAGAAACUCCUCUCACUUUAGCUGCUUAUUUUGGAAGCACACAGGUAGUGACAGUGCACCUUCAAAAAGGAGCAUAUAUUGCUGUCUCUUCUAUUGUUGGUAAGACUGCUUUUGGUUGGGCUAAACAAGAAGGCCAUAGUGAUACUGCGACCAUCUUAAGAGUACAUUGAGUUUGUAGUAGAAUUUCUCUCUGAUAUUGUCAGACUAUCAUUUGUGGAUGAUAUACAGCAGUUAUUACCUGAUGAAGUCAGUUCGUCUCCCGAUACUCAACUUGAGCUAAAAAGAGACAAAGUUUUUGAUGAGUCCCUACUGGAUAAUCUUAAUUGGACUGACUUUCAUUUCUAAUCUGCAUGUUCUCAAAAUCCAAACUACUUUGCUUACUAAAGUACCUUUGCUUGAUCUCUUUUAUUACUUCCUCUACUGGUCAACCUCGUUAUUUUCUACCAAUUGUUUUUCACCAAAAACAGAAAGAGGCCUUCACUAAAACCUGCGACCCACUAGUCUCAUUCAACAGUAAACUAGGCUACAGAGUUUGUUUUGAACAUUGAUUGUUUCUUUGUUAAGUUGAGAGGAGAGGCCUUGCUUAUUUAUUGACAGUAAGUCUCCAUUCUUUCCAAAGCAGCUUUGACAUGCUGUCGAGUUUUACUCUGAGGAUCUAUUUGGAAACUACAAAGAUUGCUCUGUUUUUUGUUCAGUGAUCCUAGAGGGUUUAUCAGCCAGUGCUGCUGCAUUAGCCUACGAUGAGAAGACACUAGCAAUAUCUGCUGUGACAUAUUUUCACCAGAAGCACAGAAGAUGUGAGACUAAUAGGAAUCCUCAUCCUAUCAAAGUAUCAUACACACAAGAGAAACCCUCAUGAGAUCAGGUGCAGUAUUGAGAGAUUUUCAACCCAUUGCAUUAACUGAUGAGAGACAAAGUUUGCUGGUUAUUAGUUAAGUUUUUUAGCAUUUAUGUUGCUACUUUUGUAUGUUUAUUUCUAUUCUAUUUAUUAUCUUUUGAUCCGGUUGCUCUGUCAGUUGUUCCUAUUGACAAUCUUUUACCAGAAGGCUCAGUAUUAAAUGAGUCUCAUGCUCCUGUUAUACUGCAAGCUAUCAAUAAGAUAGUCAACGAAUGGGAGACUCUAGGAUUAUAUCUUGGAAUGAAAAAUGAAGAAUUAAAGUUAAUUCAUUUUAAAAGUUUCUAUCAAAUAGAUGUAUCCCGUAAAGACAUGAUAAUUCACUGGUUAAAGACUGGUACUGCUACAAGGGAAAAGCUGAUAGAACUGAGCACUUGAGGAUUUGGGGACAAUGUUGCUACUGAAGUAAAGCGAUUACCUACACAAUAACAAUCAAGUUUGUUAUUUUAUUAUUAUUAUUACUUAUUUUUCUGUUUUUACUUACAUACACUUCCUUCUCUUUCCCCUUUAUUUAUUAUUAUUAUACAUAAAAUAAUUAAUAAUAAUCGUUAUUGUUUCAUAUUUAUGUUAAUUCUUUCAAUUUUAAAGUUUUUAUUUUU